Anas platyrhynchos (mallard) is the source of this 697-nucleotide long non-coding RNA. RefSeq lists it as uncharacterized. The record is from RefSeq and is a predicted model, not a curated record. NCBI's taxonomy places the organism in Eukaryota, Metazoa, Chordata, Aves, Anseriformes, Anatidae.
CCCUACAUAUGUUUGUAUUGAAUGAGUCUAGGGUCAGGGCAUUUUUGUACUUUCCUCUUUCCCUCUGAAAUGUAAAUACAUUUCUUCAUGUGAUGACCGAUUUACUUCAAUCCACAAAGCACAGAUUGGAUGUGUCAUAAAAUAGCUAAAUCCCAGCUGGGUGGUCCCAGCAUGGAGCAUUUACACAGUUCUUCAGAAACAGCUCUUCUUGCUUCGUGACUCAUUGUGAGUAUGAAGAGCACCUCCUUACUCCAGGCUGAGGACAAAGCAUACUGCCUGGUCACCAACUGUUAUGAAGAGGGACACGUGACUGUGUUGGUGACAACGGAGGUUGAAAAAAACAGUGGGCUUGAGCUCAAGGAGUGGUAGCUGGUAAAUUUGUUCUGGGAAAUUCUGCAGACACAAGAUUUUGGUGCAGAUGGUUCGGGAGGGAACUCCCAAAAUGUCUUGUUUUAUAAAGAGUUUUAGGAAAUCUUCCUCCUUUUUUUAAAAAAAAAAUAAAAUUAUUUAUUUAUUUAUUUUUGUUAUUACAAAUUUGUGUGAGACUCAAAUACAUAUAAUGCACACUUGGAGGAAUUAGUUAUCACAGCAUUGUACCCUAACUUCAGCCUGUUGCUACACAUAAAAUGCUGAACAAUGUAAGAGGAAGUGAGGAAAAAGACCUGGUGCUGCUGGGUUUUGAAAUGCUAUAAAAACG